AUCCAGAUAGAGAGUCCUAAAUAGAACGAAAUGCGCAUCCUGGAU
Molecule: non-coding RNA, 45 nt
Filed under: Trichobilharzia regenti
Lineage: Eukaryota; Metazoa; Platyhelminthes; Trematoda; Strigeidida; Schistosomatidae
Source: RNAcentral